CCUANGGGUGGCAGCAGUAGGGAAUUUUCCACAAUGGGGGCAACCCUGAUGGAGCAACGCCGCGUGCAGGAUGAAGGCCUUAGGGUUGUAAACUGCUUUUAUGUGCGAAGAUUAUGACGGUAACACAUGAAUAAGGGUCGGCUAACUCCGUGCCAGCAGCCGCGGUCAUACGGAGGACCCAAGCAUUAUCCGGAAUUACUGGGCGUAAAGAGUUGCGUAGGUGGCAUAGUAAGCGAAAUGUGAAAGCGUACAGCUCAACUGUAUAGACAUAUUUUGAACUGCUAAGCUUGAGGACGAGAGAGGUAGAUGGAAUUCCCAGUGUAGGAGUGAAAUCCGUAGAUAGUGGGAGGAACACCAAUGGCGUAGGCAGUCUACUGGCUCGUUUCUGACACUAAGGCACGAAAGCGUGGGGAGCAAACGGGAUUAGAUACCCUGNUANUC
This 441-nucleotide ribosomal RNA is filed under the name uncultured bacterium. Its description in RNAcentral is "bacterial SSU rRNA". It matches the Rfam family "Bacterial small subunit ribosomal RNA", at positions 338 to 795 of the family's 1533-position model. The record is from RNAcentral.